CCCGCGCGCGGCCUGCCUCCUCGGGGCCGGUGGAUAGCCGGGCGCCGGCCGGGGCACCCCCAGCGUAGUGGGAAAUGACACCCCGGCCGGGCCCCCUGAAGCCAGGUCGUUUCCGUGCUCAGCAGUGUCGCUGUGGGUCUUUAUGAUUUUUGUGUUCUUUUUAAGAAACGGCCCCUUUUCCUUGGGCCCUGUGCUCAGGAUGAAUGCCCCUCCCAGGUGGGCCCCCUGCAUCUGGGAGCAGCGACCCCGGGGCCUGCACACUGAGCCCAAGGCUGAGAGACAUCAGCUUGCAGCUGGACGCCGCCUGGAGAAAGCAGGCCAGGCCUGGGAUGGCAGAGUCCACCUGUCCCCACCUGCAGUUGUCCAGACUCCCAGCUGGCCCCUCUGGGCCUCUCAAGGCACCGGCUCAUCAGAUUGCUCUUGUGUCUCCCCACCUCCUGCCCUGCCCCCACCAGAAGGAAGAGCACCAGAUGAGUUUCCGGGAGGAAGUGGCGCUCUAGCUCUGCAGUCCCCAAUUCCCAGGCCAUGGACUGAGCCACACGGCUCGGCCUCACCCCUCCUCCCAUGCCAUCUGCAGAAAAAUUGUCCUGCCUGAAACUUAGGAAAAGGUGGGGGGCGCACAGCAGGAGAGCGGCAGGUGAAGCCACACCUGUGUUUAUAGCUGCUCCCCAUUGUUCGCAUCACCGCCUGAGCUCUGCCUCCUCCGCCCCCGCCUCAGUCUAUGGAAAAAUUGUCUUCCAUGAAGCUAAUCCCUGAUGCCAAAACGGUUAGGGACCGCUGCUAGCUGAUACUCAGGACCAGCAGGAGUGGCAGGCAGGUGGGCACGAGCGGAGGCUGGGUGGCCACAGCACAGCACAUUCCAGGACCUACAAAUAGCUCAGGGUGGCUGGGGUCCCCAGAGAUAGUGCUAGCAGGUGCCACUGGCAGUCGCCUGUGUGGCAGAGAUUGGGGUUGGGAGCAGGUGAUUCCCAGGGGGAGGCUGCCACCUCCCAAGGGCCCCAGUGGCAGGUGGGAGUGGCAGGCGGGAUGCCCACACUGUCCCAAGCACUCUCUAUCUGGGCCUGGCACUGCCUCGGGUCUUGGGCUUGCUGGGUCGGGAAUUCUCCAGCAGAAGUGGGAGUAAGAACCCCAUGUAGGUGGCCCUUUGAGACCUGCAAAAUGUCUGAUUGUGAAAUUAAACAUCCAUUAUGA
Non-coding RNA from Microcebus murinus (gray mouse lemur), 1191 nucleotides. The record is from RefSeq and is a predicted model, not a curated record. NCBI's taxonomy places the organism in Eukaryota, Metazoa, Chordata, Mammalia, Primates, Cheirogaleidae.